ACUGAUUAAUGUUUAUGAAUAUAUAUAUAUAUAUACACACACAGAGCGCCAUAAGAUUGGCCGCCAGAUUUAAGCCGGAGACAGUGCAUUCAAUGCUCGUGUUAAAUAGCUUUUUCCGUAGUUGGCGUUGGAGUGGAGAAAAGUGGAAAUCACAUCGCCAUUGAUGUUUGUGUACAGACUGUAGACGUAUACAUUUAUUUUUUUUUCCCCUGUAUAUGCGCACCAAUCAGUGAAGUGGGUGCAUCCGGGAGAGGAUCUGAACCUGGACAAAAGCUCAGAUCUGAAAACCAGCUGAGCAAUUGGAAGAGAGAGGGAGAGAGAUGGGGUUGUGCGGGUCUAAGCCGAAGAGUUGCAUGGGUGAAUUUGGGAAGAAGAAUCGCCAGCCAGGGAGAAGAAGAAGAAGAGGAACGCUGAAGAAGGGCCAUCUUUCUUCGAAAGCCCUCGGCCCGGUCGAUCCGUCCACCGCCGUCGACCGUUCAUACUCCAAUCCUACAUUCCAAGCAAAUACAGAGUCAUGGUUCGACCCUGCAACGGCAAUUGAGUCCGACUGCGAUGAUGAGUACCACAGUGUUCAGGAUGCAUUUGCAGAUGUUGUAUCUCAUCGUGCCUCCGACGCCGAAUCCAUAUCAACUAUGUCAACGCCAAGAUUUUCAAGCCACAUCAAUUAUUCCAAAAAUCUAAAAACCGUUAAUCUGCAUCCAGAUGAUGCUGAUCCUCAAUUGAAAUCAGAUGGUCCUCAAGAUGAGGUGAAAACCCCUGGUUCGUUGGGUGAAAUUUCUACCCAAUGUAGGGAUGGAAGUGAAAGAGACAAGGAGACAGGAGUGUUAGACCAUUGUGGACUUCUUCCCAACGCUUGUUUACCUUGUCUUGCUUCUGCAGCUUCCUCAGAUGAAAAGAAAAAAUGUCUGAGCUGCAGCCCACCAAAUACAAGAAAAAAAGCAGCUUUAAAAUUUUCCUUUAAAUGGAAGGAUGAGCUGGCUAAUCCUACAUUAUCAUCUCCUAAGGCACUUCUGCAAAGACCAAAAGCUGGUUCCCAAGUUCCAUCUUGUCCGUUAGAAAAGAUCCUGUCCGAUUGUUGGUCCCCAGUAGAUCCUAGUACUUUCAAAGUCCGGGGACCAAACUAUUUAAGGGAUAAGAAGAAGGAUUUUGCUCCAAAGUAUGCCGCAUAUUAUCCCUUUGGUGUUGAUGUAUUCUUGUCUCCGCGUAAAAUUGACCAUGUUGCUCGAUUUGUGGAACUUCCUGCCGUUAGUUCAUAUGGAGAAUUCCCUUCAAUUCUUGUUGUUAAUCUUCAGAUACCUCUGUAUCCUGCCACAAUCUUUCAAAAUGAAUAUGAUGGAGAAGGAAUAAGUUUUGUUUUUUACUUCAAGCUAUCAGAAAAUUAUGCAAAAGAGCUUCCUCUCCAUUUUCAAGAAAAUAUCAGGAGGCUAAUUGAUGAUGAAGUAGAGAGGGUCAGAGGUUUCCCCGUUGAUACAGUUGCUCCUUUCAGAGAGAGGUUGAAGAUAUUGGGUCGAGUGGCAAACAUGGAGAAUCUUCAUUUAAGUGCAGCUGAGAGGAAGCUGAUGAAUGCUUACAAUGAAAAGCCCGUUCUCUCACGCCCUCAACAUGAAUUUUACCUGGGAGAAAACUAUUUCGAGAUUGAUUUGGAUAUGCACAGGUUCAGCUAUAUCCCUAGAAAGGGUUUCGAAGCUUUUCAGGACAGAUUGAAGCUUUGCAUUUUGGAUUUUGGACUAACAAUUCAGGGAAACAAAGCAGAAGACUUGCCAGAGAACAUCUUAUGUUGUCUAAGGUUGAAGGAAAUUGACCAUGCUAACUACCACCAGCUGGUGUUUUGAGAACUAAUCAAGAGCCUCUCAACUGUUUUGCCGCCUAAUCAAAAUAUUGCACCAGUUGUUCCCUUGGCUCUUCGAUCACCAUUUUUUGUAUCUGGAAGUUCCUCUUAAGCAUCAGGAUUCAAUUGUACAGAAAUGCUUACAUGACGACUACUCCCGGAAGAUUCUCAAUAACAAGAAGAAAUUUCUCACAUGUUUCAUGGAUUCAUUCACGAGCGGUGGUGAUUGUAUAAUUCGCACAAUUUGUGUCCUCGUGGACGAUUGAAUAAUAGAAGACUAGAUACAUUUCCAAGAGUACCUUAACCUUUGCAUCACAAACAACAGCCAUGAAUUGCUUCAGACAAAUCAACACAUGGAUCGAAAGGGAUGGGGGAGCUCAGCCCAGACAUAAUGGCUGCGAAACCAGGCUUUUGGUCCUCUCUUUCGGAUUCUGACGGCGAGGAUGGGACCGAGGGUUGCUCCUCGGAUUGAGAGAUUGGAGGUGGAGGACUGAUAAUGUGCUGGUCUUCGAAGUUAUUCUCACAAGGCUUCAUCUCUCGUAGCAGAAGCUGAUCGUCCCAAAUCCGGCCAGAAGAGCCACCACGUCUCCGGAACGAAACUGAUGAUCUCUGCAAUAUAAUAGAGGCCAUGGAUUGAUUGUUGAAACUCCAACUGCAUCUCGCUGUCUCUGCACAAGAUGGCGUCCACAAAUGACUUUGAGGAACAUGAAGCAGCUUCGGAACAGGACGCUGAUUCAUGAGCCACGUAUUCUGCAGCUUCAUUCAGCUUGCGUUCCUCUC
Molecule: RNA transcript, 2608 nt
Organism: Diospyros lotus (date-plum)
Lineage: Eukaryota; Viridiplantae; Streptophyta; Magnoliopsida; Ericales; Ebenaceae
Exons: 10
Source: RefSeq, a predicted model, not a curated record